CACUCAGUGUCCCGCUCCGUCCCUUCCUCUAUCUCUGUAACCAAUCUGUAACCAUAUUUGACCGCAGCUCUUGCAGCCAACAACACCACAAACUUCAGCUCUUCUCCGUCUAAAUGCCAGACUCUCACGAUGGUAUGCCAGCACCAUGCCAGGUUAUCAAAGAGGACUUUGACCAGUGUGUCAGAGAGAAGGGAGAGGAGGCCUGUAAAGAUCUAAUAGAUGCCUUCCAGGCCUGUAUAAAAACCCUGUCUGAGGGAUCAUGACACAUCUUAUUCAAAUCUUCACUUUAUCAAAGUCCUCCUCUUUCCCAGCAUUCCCUUCCUUGCUUUAUUGCACUGGACCACACCAUCUGAAAAACUGAAGAGGGGGAGUGAUGAUACUAAGAUUCUGAUACAGUGUACUUCUGUCAAUGUGAACCUUUUUUUCAUAAAUGGCAUAACUCCAUCACUGGACUCUUCUAUAACACUGCUUACCUGUGCAUUGUAACAUCUUUGUGCACAAUAAUUCAAUAAAUAUAAAGAUU
This is a long non-coding RNA of Etheostoma spectabile (orangethroat darter), 523 nucleotides long. RefSeq lists it as uncharacterized. The transcript is spliced from 3 exons. Lineage: Eukaryota; Metazoa; Chordata; Actinopteri; Perciformes; Percidae. The record is from RefSeq and is a predicted model, not a curated record.